UACGUAGGGGGCAAGCGUUGUCCGGAAUCAUUGGGCGUAAAGCGCGUGUAGGCGGCCAGGUAAGUCCGUUCUGAAAGCCCGGGGCUCAACCCCGGGAGGCGGAUGGAUACUGCUUGGCUCGAGUCCGGAAGAGGCGAGUGGAAUUCCCGGUGUAGCGGUGAAAUGCGCAGAUAUCGGGAGGAACACCAAUGGCGAAGGCAGCUCGCUGGGACGGUACUGACGCUGAGACGCGAAAGCGUGGGGAGCAAACCGG
RNAcentral lists this ribosomal RNA (253 nucleotides) under uncultured bacterium. RNAcentral's name for it is "partial 16S ribosomal RNA". It matches the Rfam family "Bacterial small subunit ribosomal RNA", at positions 524 to 776 of the family's 1533-position model. The record is from RNAcentral.